UGGGGAAUAUUGGACAAUGGGCGAAAGCCUGAUCCAGCCAUGCCGCGUGUGUGAAGAAGGUCUUCGGAUUGUAAAGCACUUUAAGUUGGGAGGAAGGGCAGUAAGCGAAUACCUUGCUGUUUUGACGUUACCGACAGAAUAAGCACCGGCUAACUCUGUGCCAGCAGCCGCGGUAAUACAGAGGGUGCAAGCGUUAAUCGGAAUUACUGGGCGUAAAGCGCGCGUAGGUGGUUCGUUAAGUUGAAUGUGAAAGCCCCGGGCUCAACCUGGGACCUGAAUCCAAAACUGGCGGGCUAGAGUGGGCAGAGGGUGGUGGAAUUUCCUGUGUAGCGGUGAAAUGCGUAGAUAUAGGAAGGAACACCAGUGGCGAAGGCGACCACCUGGGCUCAUACUGACACUGAGGUGCGAAAGCGUGGGGAGCAAACAGG
RNAcentral lists this ribosomal RNA (428 nucleotides) under Pseudomonadota bacterium. RNAcentral describes it as "Proteobacteria bacterium partial 16S ribosomal RNA". It matches the Rfam family "Bacterial small subunit ribosomal RNA", at positions 355 to 776 of the family's 1533-position model. Lineage: Bacteria; Pseudomonadati; Pseudomonadota. The record is from RNAcentral.